RNAcentral lists this small nuclear RNA (64 nucleotides) under Microcebus murinus (gray mouse lemur). Lineage: Eukaryota; Metazoa; Chordata; Mammalia; Primates; Cheirogaleidae. The record is from RNAcentral.
AUGCUCGCUUCAGCAAUACAUAUACUAAAAUUGGAACGAUACAGAGAAGAUUAGCAUGGCUCCU